UACGAGGGGUGCAAGCGUUGCUCGGAAUUAUUGGGCGUAAAGGGUAGGUAGGUGGUCUCAUUUGUCCGGGGUGAAAGCCUUGAGCUUAACUCAAGAAGUGCCUCGGAAACGGUGAGACUAGAGUCUUGGAGAGGGUCGUGGAAUUCCCGGUGUAGCGGUGAAAUGCGUAGAGAUCGGGAGGAACACCAGAGGCGAAGGCGGCGACCUGGACAAGUACGUGACACUCAACUACGAAAGCGUGGGGAGCAAACAGG
This 254-nucleotide ribosomal RNA is filed under the name uncultured bacterium. RNAcentral describes it as "partial 16S ribosomal RNA". It matches the Rfam family "Bacterial small subunit ribosomal RNA", at positions 524 to 776 of the family's 1533-position model. The record is from RNAcentral.